AAACGUAGGUGGCGAGCGUUGUCCGGAAUCACUGGGUGUAAAGGGCGUGUAGGCGGGGGUACAAGUCAGGUGUGAAAGACCACGGCUCAACCGCGGGGUUGCAUUUGAAACUGUAUCUCUUGAGUAUUGGAGAGGGAAGCGGAAUUCCUAGUGUAGCGGUGAAAUGCGUAGAGAUUAGGAGGAACACCAGUGGCGAAGGCGGCUUCCUGGCCAAAUACUGACGCUGAGGCGCGAAAGCGUGGGGAGCAAACAGGAUUAGAUACCCUGGUAGUCCACGCCGUAAACGAUGGAUACUAGGUGUAGGUGGUGACAGACCAUCUGUGCCGGAGUUAACACAAUAAGUAUCCCACCUGGGGAGUACGGCCGCAAGGCUGAA
RNAcentral lists this ribosomal RNA (376 nucleotides) under uncultured bacterium. RNAcentral describes it as "bacterial SSU rRNA". It matches the Rfam family "Bacterial small subunit ribosomal RNA", at positions 523 to 898 of the family's 1533-position model. The record is from RNAcentral.